UUUUUUUACCAGCAUGGAAAACAGAUACAAAGAGCUUUUGCAGUUUCUAGAGAACACUCCAGAAACCAUGGUAACGCCCAUGCCAAACGGUGGCACCGAGUUCUGGGUCGAGACUAAGCCUGGAAAGAAGGUGUUUCUUGACAGAGGAAAGGGAGAGGAGGAACUGACAGUUGAGGAGGCCAAGGUGUGGCUUAAACAGCAGCUUCAGGGAAAGUGAGAAGUGUGUUGGUUCCAAUGGAGGGAGUAAAUAGGCCAAUUAAUUAUUUAUUAUGUAU
This 275-nucleotide unclassified non-coding RNA is filed under the name Yarrowia lipolytica. Lineage: Eukaryota; Fungi; Ascomycota; Dipodascomycetes; Dipodascales. The record is from RNAcentral.